RNAcentral lists this ribosomal RNA (92 nucleotides) under Lepidagathis incurva. Its description in RNAcentral is "partial 5.8S ribosomal RNA". It matches the Rfam family "5.8S ribosomal RNA", at positions 69 to 154 of the family's 154-position model. Rfam says of the family: 5.8S ribosomal RNA (5.8S rRNA) is a component of the large subunit of the eukaryotic ribosome. Lineage: Eukaryota; Viridiplantae; Streptophyta; Magnoliopsida; Lamiales; Acanthaceae. The record is from RNAcentral.
GAAUUGCAGAAUCCCGUGAACCAUCGAGUCUUUGAGACGCAAGUUGCGCCCGAAGCCUUCGGGCCGAGGGCACGCCUGCCUGGUCGCCACGA